CCAGGCUGGCUGAAGCUGACUGUUCUGUCUGAAGAUCAGCUGCAGAUGAAAUGGAAGGAGGCAGAAGGGCUGGUGCAGGGCUAUAAUGUCCAUGUGCGGCCCAUCACAGGUGGUGGUGAAUGAAACGGACUCCACAGCUCUGCUGACAGGACUGUCCUCACAGUCAGAGUUCCACCUGUCCAUCUUUCCUGUCUAGAACAAUGUGGGUAUCUCAGAGGCACCUUCACCACAUUAUCUGGAGGUGGUCCGAGCAGUUUAUCCAUUUCAGAGGAGACAGCAGUCAGUAUGCUGGUCACCUGGGUUCACCCCAACGCCUGUGUGCUGCAGUACCGUGUGCUGUACACUCCGCUUAAUGGGGAUGUGAGGGAAAAUACAGUGUCAUUGCCAGGCAGCGAGAGGCGCAUCCUUCUGCAGAAUCUGCUGCCUGACACUCAUUACAGUGUGCUGGUGACUGCUGAGUACCGCAACAGAGAGGGUGGCAGUGCCUGAGCCCAGGGGAAGACCAGUGAGUCACACACACAUCAGUACAGUAUCUCUAGUAUUACAGUGUGUGCUGACCAAGUAUAUACUUUCUACCUGACACUGCAACUGCCUGUGUCUUGUGUUUAAUCUCCUCUCUCUGCACAACCAGCUAGCCUGCGGGUGAGCAGUGUGGUGUGGUCUGACCACUCCAGUAUAUGUGUGUCCUGGAGGCCUGUACCAGCUGUCAGUGGUACAGCAUAGUCAUCCAGGCUCUCAGAGACUAAAGAAGACAUAGUAGAUGCUGCUAGCAGGAGCCAUUGUUUCUCUGAGCUGAAGCCUGAAACUGUCUACCGCAUUAGUGUGCACUCCCGUCUGGUAACAGUAGAGGGCACUGCGGUCACUAUUCUUCACCCUACAGCAACUGCUCCAUUAAGAAUUCAGGUUCCUCCUUGACUGCAUCCCGUACAAAGAGUAGGUAAGACUUUCAACAGUUAAGGCCUGUUCACACCAAAGACAAAUAUUGCCAUGAAUAUUCAGUGUGACCAACCCUUUGAAACAAUGCAUCCUUUUUCAUCUAUUUAUGCCAAAUAAAUUAAUUUUGCAACAGUACAAAGCUGUUCUUCUUUGGUGAGUGUAUCCAUUCUUCAUUCAGCAAUGUAAACAUAAAUCAAGGAUCGUCAAAUCUGGCCCACUAGAUCCACUUUCCUGCAGAGUUUAGCUCUAACCCUAAUCAAACACACCUGAGCAUGCUAAUCAGUUUCUUCAGGAUCAUUAGAAAAUCAGAGGUAGGUGACUCUACAAUUUUCAUAGUCAUGAAAAUAAAGAAAACUCUUUGAAUGAGAAGGUGUGUCCAAACUUUUGGUCUGUACUGUAUACACCCUCACAGGUACAUGAUCAGUCUAGGUUGAGUUGACAUAUCAAUAUGGCACGGAAUUACAUUAUGUAGUGCAGGAUGGUUCAAGUUUCUUUCUGUAUUUUAAGUGUGGUUCUCUGUUCUCUAGAGAGGUGAUGAGAGCUGUCCUGCCCCUGCUUAUGCAUGCACCUGCACCACCGAUGUCCCUGGAGCACCUGGAGACACUGGGCCACCUGUGAGAGAGACUACAACGCUGCAUUUUUAAACUGACACAAACAUUAGGAAGCUUGUGAAAUCAUUUUAGUAGUUGUUUGAAUAAUCAGCAUUGUAAUUAUUGGUGUAAUGAUAUGCUUGUAUUCAGGGGAGACCUGGAACUCAUGGGGAAAAGGGAGAAAAAGUAGAGGUGGGACAAAAAGGAGAGGUGGGUCCACCUGGUAAAUCGGGUCCUGAUGGCGGCUUUGGCACUCUUGGACCCUCUGGUCCUCAGGGAAUAACUGUAAUGGGCAAAAUGGGACCACCAGGAGCAAGAUGGAAAAAGGAGAUAUUGGAAGGCCUGGGAGCCAGGGUUUGCAAGGGCCUUGUGGUCCAAAAGUUGAAGAGGGCAUGACUGGUCCUAAGGCAAGUCUCUAAAUGGUUUGAGGCAGUUGUCCUAUGUGUUUGAAAUGUUCAGUAUCAAUCAUCUUAGUGUCAAUAAAUUGCCCACAGGGCACCAGAUGAAUGGAGGGUAAUAUCGGUAGCCCAGGAAUCCCAGGACCAAGAGAUUUUCAGGGUAUGCCUGGUCAUCCAGGGCCACUGGGAGAGAGAGGGCCAUUAAGUCCUGUAGGGCCCAUAGGUCUUCCUGGAAGUAAGGGUGAGAGGGGAGAGAAGGGUGAGCCACAGUCUCUUGCCAUGAUCUACCAGCUUGUUACACAGGCCUGUGAAAAACUUGUGCACAAUGAAGUCCUGAAGAUGGAUGAUUUUCUGAACGAGAAUCGAAAGCCAGUGCCCAUCCAGGAACCAGAAGCACCACCAUGAGAGCCUGGGAUACCAGGGGGAAGGGGGCCACCUGGAUCCCUAGGCCCUCAGGGUCGACAAGGAAGCAGAGGAGAAUCUGGGAAACCAGGGUACCCUGGUGAACAGGGACACAGAGGGAUGCCUGGUGAGAAGGGCUCUCCAGGAGCAAAUUUGGAGGGACCACAAGGAAUAAAAGGUUUUGCAGGUAUUGAAACAUCCAGGUACAUAUCAAUAAAUUAGAAUGUCAUGGAAAAGUUAAUUUAUUUCAAUAAUUCAACUCAAAUAGUUAAACUCGUGUUUUAAAUAAAUGCAGUGUAAACAGACUGAAGUAGUUUAAGUCUUUGGU
Molecule: long non-coding RNA, 2654 nt
Organism: Carassius auratus (goldfish)
Lineage: Eukaryota; Metazoa; Chordata; Actinopteri; Cypriniformes; Cyprinidae
Exons: 14
Source: RefSeq, a predicted model, not a curated record